Molecule: small nuclear RNA, 107 nt
Filed under: Dasypus novemcinctus (nine-banded armadillo)
Lineage: Eukaryota; Metazoa; Chordata; Mammalia; Cingulata; Dasypodidae
Source: RNAcentral
AUGCUCACUUUGGCAGCACAUGUACUAAAAUUGGAACGAUACAGAGAAAAUUAUCAUGGCACCUAUGCAAGGAUAAUGUGCAAAUUCAUAAAGCAUUCCAUAUUUUU